UAUCUGGUCUUCCUGCCAGUAGUCAUAUGCUUGUCUCAAAGAUUAAGCCAUGCAUGUCUAAGUAUAAGCACUCGUACUGGAAACUGCGAAUGC
Molecule: non-coding RNA, 93 nt
Filed under: Nematostella vectensis (starlet sea anemone)
Lineage: Eukaryota; Metazoa; Cnidaria; Anthozoa; Actiniaria; Edwardsiidae
Description: Eukaryotic small subunit ribosomal RNA
Rfam family: Eukaryotic small subunit ribosomal RNA
Source: Rfam by way of RNAcentral